RNAcentral lists this ribosomal RNA (485 nucleotides) under Ischnocnema sp. CC-2012. RNAcentral's name for it is "partial 12S ribosomal RNA". It matches the Rfam family "Bacterial small subunit ribosomal RNA", at positions 794 to 1522 of the family's 1533-position model. Lineage: Eukaryota; Metazoa; Chordata; Amphibia; Anura; Brachycephalidae. The record is from RNAcentral.
GCCUGACCUUAAACCUUAAAUUACUACCCUCAUCGCCAAGGAACUACGAGCUAUGCUUAAAACCUAAAGGACUUGACGGUACUCCAUACCCCACUAGAGGAGCCUGUCCUAUAAUUGAUAAUCCCCGUUAAACCUCACCACUUCUAGCCUAUCAGCCUGUAUACCUCCGUCCUAGCUCACCCUAUGAAGGAACAGUGAGCCUUAACGUCAUUAACUAAUACAUCAGGUCAAGGUGCAGCAAAUGAAAUGGUAAGAGAUGGGCUACACUUUCUAUUUUAGAAAAAACGAAAGGUCAUCAUGCAACCUUACCAGAAGGUGGAUUUAGCAGUAAAAAGAAAAUAGAGUGUUCUUUUGAACCCAGCACUGGAGUGUGCACACACCGCCCGUCACCCUCUUCAAAACCAAACAUCAGUACUUAACCAACUUUUAUAACAAGAAGAGGCAAGUCGUAACAUGGUAAGCAUACCGGAAGGUGUGCUUGGAAA